UGCGUAGGCGGCGCGGUAAGUCGGGUGUGAAAUCUCGGGGCUUAACUCCGAAACUGCAUUCGAUACUGCCGUGAUUGAGGACUGGAGAGGAGACUGGAAUUUACGGUGUAGCGGUGAAAUGCGUAGAUAUCGUAAGGAAGACCAGUGGCGAAGGCGGGUCUCUGGACAGUUCCUGACGCUGAGGCACGAAGGCCAGGGGAGCAAACGG
RNAcentral lists this ribosomal RNA (208 nucleotides) under uncultured bacterium. RNAcentral's name for it is "partial 16S ribosomal RNA". It matches the Rfam family "Bacterial small subunit ribosomal RNA", at positions 568 to 775 of the family's 1533-position model. The record is from RNAcentral.